Molecule: non-coding RNA, 218 nt
Organism: Biomphalaria pfeifferi
Lineage: Eukaryota; Metazoa; Mollusca; Gastropoda; Planorbidae
Source: the annotation of a GenBank genome assembly
CAACAUGGGCAUUCAUUUUGGCUGUUGGUGAGCAUGAAAAACAUUUGUUAAAAGCACACUUUUCAAAGACCUAGAAAUAAUACUGUUCUAUUUCAGUGAUUCUAAAAUUUAACAAUGAGACCUCCACAAAAACAUACAAUUUUAAUUUCUUAUUACAGACUUCAGCAAUGUUAAAUUGUACUAAAGUUAAUUGUAUUAUGUUUGUAUUAUAAUAAAUA